GGGAAAUGCUUUUUUUCUAGAUUUGUUUUUAAUAAAUGUGUUUUUCUCUAUAAUACCAGGGCGAGAAAUGCUGCUGUAUCCACAGCUGAAUGUUAUGAACAUUGUUAAAACUGUGCAUUUUGCUAGACGUACACAUGGGUUGUAUACAUUCUUAUGAUUAUGUUUCUGGUAUUGGAAGAAGACGCUGUCACCAUCACCAAACAAUAUGAAUACAUGCUGUUUGUCAUCCAAGCCUGGGCCAUUUCUCCAGGGUAUUUUCCCAUUUGUGACAGGAUUUUCUCUCCUUCUCUUUCUCUCCCUCUCUCUGUCUGUCUCUCUCUCCUGCACUUUCUAUUUCUUUAAUAUAUGUCCUGACUUGCGGGCACUUCCUCAUUAUUCCUAUCUUGAUAUCUGCCACUGUUAAUGAGUGGAGGGACUCAAGUUACAGAGUUUGAGCAUUUGGAUUAAUGUGGGUGCUGUAGAGGGGGAAGUUUGGGAAUAGUGCGUGCUCUCACAGUUCAUUACUGUGGAUAUAUGACAUUUUAAGGCUGUGAGAUGCCAGGCUAAUGAUGCUCCCCAGUAAACACUUGAGACUGCCAGCCACUGCACCUGAGAAUGUUCCUCUAAUAGCAAGGAUGUCAGCACAGUGACAGGUCCACUUCCUCUGCACUCACUGUACCAGUGGGGUUUUUUUUGUUUGUUUGUUUUUUUUAAAGCAAGUCUUUGUUUGUUAAUUUGCAAUGGACUAAUCUAUUUAAGAGUAAAUAGGCUGGACAUAAUAACAAGAACACCUGAGCAAAGCAACAAGUAUAGUUUUAAUUUUUGAGAAGUGUUUUUAUUCAGUGUGUGAAUUUAUACACGCUGAGAGCGGGACUAUACAGCCUGACAGCGCCCACCAGAAUACUGCCAAAACAUUCUCUUUGUCUCCAAUGAUUUUAUUGAGUCAGUUACUGUAAAGAUGUCAUCAUUAGGUCACCAAUGCAUGUGUGGAGUGGGGACCACAACAGGACAUCAUGUCCCAAUAUAACACUCUGCUUUCUAUCUGCUGACAGGUAUGCACUGGACCCUUGUGUUUAAAAAGUUCUUCAGGCA
Molecule: long non-coding RNA, 1071 nt
Organism: Astatotilapia calliptera (eastern happy)
Lineage: Eukaryota; Metazoa; Chordata; Actinopteri; Cichliformes; Cichlidae
Source: Ensembl